GAUGAAGAACGUAGCGAAAUGCGAUACGUAAUGUGAAUUGCAGAAUUCAGUGAAUCAUCGAAUCUUUGAACGCAUAUUGCGCUCUUUGGUAUUCCGAAGAGCAUGCUUGUUUGAGUAUCAGUAAACACCUCAACCUCUUCUUGAUUUUUCAAAAGGAGGGUGGACUUGAGCUAUCCCAACAACCUUUACCGGUCGGCGGGCGGCUUGAAAUGCAGGUGCAGCUGGACUUUUAUCUGAGCUAAAAGCAUAUCUAUUUAGUCCUCGUCAAACAGGAUUAUUACUUUUGCUGCAGCUAACAUAAAGGAUAAUUGUCCUCUGUGCUGACUGAUGCAGGAUUUUACGACACUUUAUGUGUUGUUCAACUCGAUCUCAAAUCAAGUAAGACUACCCGCUGAACUUAAGCAUAUCAAUAAGCGGAGGA
This 421-nucleotide unclassified non-coding RNA is filed under the name soil metagenome. RNAcentral's name for it is "partial contains 5.8S ribosomal RNA, internal transcribed spacer 2, and large subunit ribosomal RNA". The stretch from base 1 to 120 matches the Rfam family "5.8S ribosomal RNA", at positions 35 to 154 of the family's 154-position model. The record is from RNAcentral.